GGGAAUAAAGUUGCUUUGUUACUGCUAAUAACAGUGUUGGUUAAUUUAUUUUUACCUGUUCCUU
RNAcentral lists this transfer RNA (64 nucleotides) under Eudiplozoon sp. DZ-2018. Its description in RNAcentral is "tRNA-Ser". Lineage: Eukaryota; Metazoa; Platyhelminthes; Monogenea; Mazocraeidea; Diplozoidae. The record is from RNAcentral.